AUUGAACGCUGGCGGAAUGCUUUACACAUGCAAGUCGAACGGCAGCACGGGUGCUUGCACCUGGUGGCGAGUGGCGAACGGGUGAGUAAUGCACCGGAACGUAUCCAAUAAUGGGGGAUAACGCACCGAAAGGUGUGCUAAUACCGCAUACGCCCUGAGGGGGAAAGUGGGGGAUCGUAAGACCUCGCGUUAAUGGAGCGGCCGAUGCCGGAUUAGCUAGUUGGUGAGGUAAAGGCUCACCAAGGCGACGAUCCGUAGCUGGUCUGAGAGGACGACCAGCCACACUGGAACUGAGACACGGUCCAGACUCCUACGGGAGGCAGCAGUGGGGAAUUUUGGACAAUGGGCGCAAGCCUGAUCCAGCCAUGCCGCGUGAGUGAAGAAGGCCUC
This 390-nucleotide ribosomal RNA is filed under the name uncultured bacterium. RNAcentral describes it as "bacterial SSU rRNA". It matches the Rfam family "Bacterial small subunit ribosomal RNA", at positions 30 to 418 of the family's 1533-position model. The record is from RNAcentral.